This 305-nucleotide long non-coding RNA is filed under the name Citrus sinensis (sweet orange). RNAcentral describes it as "long non-coding RNA (CSIN_LNC002420)". Lineage: Eukaryota; Viridiplantae; Streptophyta; Magnoliopsida; Sapindales; Rutaceae. The record is from RNAcentral.
CUUAUUUGAGUUACAAGACUUGAUCCUGGUGAUAGCCCCAGGAGUGCUUUCUCCCCUGUUCCUGCAGAUAAUCCAAUCCUGUUGGUGAGCACAUCCUUCCCCAUAUUCGUAGUAGGUACAGCACUAUGUAUUCCUUGACCCCCAAUAUUCGUAGUAGGAACAGCACUAUGUAUUCCUUGACCCUUCCCUAGGUGCUCCCGGACUCCAGCUUUUUCUGCACGUUUCUGCUCUUUCUUCUUAUAAUUUCUUCCUUUUGUCCACAUAUUUUCAAGAUUUUCGGGAGUAAGAACUUCAGUUCUUCUUUG